UACUCAAGACAGUGGCAAUCAUGUAUAAUUAAAUAUGAUUGACACGUCUAUGAGUGGA
This 58-nucleotide microRNA precursor is filed under the name Oryctolagus cuniculus (rabbit). Lineage: Eukaryota; Metazoa; Chordata; Mammalia; Lagomorpha; Leporidae. The record is from RNAcentral.